Molecule: RNA transcript, 1478 nt
Organism: Diceros bicornis minor
Lineage: Eukaryota; Metazoa; Chordata; Mammalia; Perissodactyla; Rhinocerotidae
Gene name: phosphatidylinositol 3,4,5-trisphosphate 3-phosphatase TPTE2-like
Exons: 2
Source: RefSeq, a predicted model, not a curated record
AAUUGUGACAACCAGGGAUGAAGGAACCCCACUUUGGGGCUUCAGAAGCUUGGAAUUUUUGAAUGAUCCUAUGGAAGAAAGAUAGGUGGGGGCCCAGAGCAGGCUUAAUCUGAUUUAGGGAAAUAAGUAUGACACAAAGUCAGUGAUCAUCAAAUAUUUCACAUGCCUCUCUCCAUUCCCCAGCCUCCCUUGCAGUUAGGUUGGAAUUAUGUGACCAGUUCUGGGUAAUGGACCAUGAAUGGGAGUGACAUGUGCUCCUCCAUCCCUCUCCUCCCAACAUAACAGCCUUUAAAGCUGUUUGUUCCAGAUGGAGUUGCUACAAGAGAGUGGAGAGUCACCUGGCCCAAAUCGAACUUCAUAAUGCCUCUCUAGCCUAACUACUGCAAUUGCUGCUACUGCCGGUUCUAGCUGCGGCAAUACACUGCCUUAGCUGCUAUCUGGGGAUGAAGAAGUGACCACCAAAAUUACUGGAUGCCGGACCAUGCUCUGCUGCCAGAUCAUCACUAGCAAAAUGGAUGUGUCCCAUGCCGCUGCCUCUCUCCCACUUAAUUCAGUUCGAAACUCAAGCCACACACCUGUGCAUUUCAUGGGAUGAAUUUCAUAAACAUCUGUAACGGUAGCUGCAAAGGGGUCUCGGAAGUGUAGUUUUUAGCAUUGGUACCCCAGCGGAUGGAACAGAUUAAGGUGAACUAAGUUUUUCUAGGGAAACUAAGUAAUUCUCUCAGGACUGUUCUACUCUCAUAGAAUUGGGAGAUAUCAUGUAGAAGCCAUAGAAUGCUCAGAGAAGUGGCUUGCCAGCAUCUCUCCCUUCCAGUGGUGAUGACUAUGAAUCUCACUGCUUAUUUUAACCAUACAGUGCCUUUCUAAACAUCUCUGUCAAUCAGAUGAAGUCUGAAUAUUCAGUGGCCUAUUAUUCUAUUGUCAGGAGACCACAUGUGAUACAGAAUGUACUAGUAUGAGGCUUCGAAUGUGCCAUUUCAUACCACUUUCCCAUUUUGAGGAGUUCUACUUCCCUUUUUCAAAGAAAAAGUCAAAACUUUCCAAUUAACCUUGGUAGAGAGCACCCUAUGUCACAGUGUCCAGAAGAAUACUUACUUAUUGAGCACCCACUGUGUACCAGACUCUGUUCAGGGUGCUAGGGAUACAAUAGUGAUGAGAAUAACAACCUGGUUUAUAAGGUUCUUACCUUCUGGAGACUUUAUGUCAUAAAAGAUUUUCUGCUUUUGAUAAAGUAAAUGAAUAUGGCUAUGAAAGACAUCUGAAAAAUCAUAAUCUCUUAUUCCAUAAUCCAAGGUGACUUUACUAAAAAGAGAUCCUUGAAAGGAGGUGCAAAGCAGACAUGAGUGCUGGCCUUGGGAAGUAGGAAAGGUGCUCUUUUUAAAAGUUUUGCUAAGUCUCUACUGCAGACAUUGUUGGUCCCCACUCAUCCCUUUGACCUACCCAAAAGAUCACUUGCAGAUAGUGCCUGUAAAUACCAA